AUUGAACGCUGGCGGCAGGCCUAACACAUGCAAGUCGGACGGUAGCACAGAGGAGCUUGCUCCUCGGGUGACGAGUGGCGGACGGGUGAGUAAUGUCUGGGGAUCUGCCCGAUAGGGGGGGAUAACCACUGGAAACGGUGGCUAAUACCGCAUAACGUCGCAAGACCAAAGAGGGGGACCUUCGGGCCUCUCACUAUCGGAUGAACCCAGGUGGGAUUAGCUAGUAGGCGGGGUAAUGGCCCACCUAGGCGACGAGCCCUAGCUGGUCUGAGAGGAUGACCAGCCACACUGGAACUGAGACACGGUCCAGACUCCUACGGGAGGCAGCAGUGGGGAAUAUUGCACAAUGGGCGCAAGCCUGAUGCAGCCAUGCCGCGUGUAUGAAGAAGGCCUUCGGGUUGUAAAGUACUUUCAGCGGGGAGGAAGGCGAUAAGGUUAAUAACCUUGUCGAUUGACGUUACCCGCAGAAGAAGCACUGGCUAACUCCGUGCCAGCCGCCGCGGUAA
Molecule: ribosomal RNA, 506 nt
Filed under: uncultured bacterium
Lineage: Bacteria
Description: partial 16S ribosomal RNA
Rfam family: Bacterial small subunit ribosomal RNA
Source: RNAcentral